UACGUAGGGGGCAAGCGUUGUCCGGAAUCAUUGGGCGUAAAGCGCGUGUAGGCGGUUCGAUAAGUCUGCUGUGAAAGUCCAGGGCUCAACCCUGGAAAGCCGGUGGAUACUGUCGGACUAGAGUGCGGAAGAGGCGAGUGGAAUUCCCGGUGUAGCGGUGAAAUGCGCAGAUAUCGGGAGGAACACCAAUUGCGAAGGCAGCUCGCUGGGACGCUACUGACGCUGAGACGCGAAAGCGUGGGGAGCAAACAGG
This 253-nucleotide ribosomal RNA is filed under the name uncultured bacterium. RNAcentral describes it as "partial 16S ribosomal RNA". It matches the Rfam family "Bacterial small subunit ribosomal RNA", at positions 524 to 776 of the family's 1533-position model. The record is from RNAcentral.